GGUUUUGUUUUUUGAUAGCUCAGUGGUGAGAGCAUUGGUUUGGGAAACCAGGGGUCGUGAGUUCAUUUCUCACUCAGGCCU
Non-coding RNA from Syngnathoides biaculeatus (alligator pipefish), 81 nucleotides. The record is from the annotation of a RefSeq genome assembly. Lineage: Eukaryota; Metazoa; Chordata; Actinopteri; Syngnathiformes; Syngnathidae.